AACGCUGGCGGCAUGCCUUACACAUGCAAGUCGAACGGUAACAGGUCUUCGGAUGCUGACGAGUGGCGAACGGGUGAGUAAUACAUCGGAACGUGCCCAGUAAUGGGGGAUAGCUCGGCGAAAGCCGGAUUAAUACCGCAUACGCCCUGAGGGGGAAAGUGGGGGAUCGCAAGACCUCACGUUAUUGGAGCGGCCGAUGGCUGAUUAGCUAGUUGGUAGGGUAAAGGCCUACCAAGGCGACGAUCAGUAGCUGGUCUGAGAGGACGAUCAGCCACACUGGGACUGAGACACGGCCCAGACUCCUACGGGAGGCAGCAGUGGGGAAUUUUGGACAAUGGGGGAAACCCUGAUCCAGCAAUGCCGCGUGUGCGAAGAAGGCCUUCGGGUUGUAAAGCACUUUUGUCAGGGAAGAAAUCCUUUGGGCUAAUACCCUAGGGGGAUGACGGUACCUGAAGAAUAAGCACCGGCUAACUACGUGCCAGCAGCCGCGGUAAUACGUAGGGUGCAAGCGUUAAUCGGAAUUACUGGGCGUAAAGCGUGCGCAGGCGGUUGUGUAAGACAGGUGUGAAAUCCCCGGGCUUAACCUGGGAAUUGCAUUUGUGACUGCACGACUAGAGUGUGUCAGAGGGGGGUGGAAUUCCACGUGUAGCAGUGAAAUGCGUAGAUAUGUGGAGGAACACCAAUGGCGAAGGCAGCCCCCUGGGAUAACACUGACGCUCAUGCACGAAAGCGUGGGGAGCAAACAGGAUUAGAUACCCCUGGUAGUCCACGCCCUAAACGAUGUCAACUAGUUGUU
Molecule: ribosomal RNA, 796 nt
Filed under: uncultured organism
Description: SSU rRNA
Rfam family: Bacterial small subunit ribosomal RNA
Source: RNAcentral